GACGUAGGGCGCGAGCGUUGUCCGGAUUUAUUGGGCGUAAAGAGCUCGUAGGCGGCUCGUUGCGUCAACCGUGAAAACCCGGGGCUUAACUUCGGGCUUGCGGUUGAUACGGGCGGGCUAGAGUCCGGAAGAGGCGAGUGGAAUUCCUGGUGUAGCGGUGGAAUGCGCAGAUAUCAGGAGGAACACCAAUAGCGAAGGCAGCUCGCUGGGACGGUACUGACGCUAAGGCGCGAAAGCUAGGGGAGCAAACGGG
This 253-nucleotide ribosomal RNA is filed under the name uncultured bacterium. RNAcentral describes it as "partial 16S ribosomal RNA". It matches the Rfam family "Bacterial small subunit ribosomal RNA", at positions 524 to 776 of the family's 1533-position model. The record is from RNAcentral.